UACGGAGGAUGCGAGCGUUAUCCGGAUUUAUUGGGUUUAAAGGGUGCGUAGGCGGACUGUUAAGUCAGCGGUAAAAUUGAGAGGCUCAACCUCUUCCCGCCGUUGAAACUGGUGGUCUUGAGUGGAUGAGAAGUACGCGGAAUGCGUGGUGUAGCGGUGAAAUGCAUAGAUAUCACGCAGAACUCCGAUUGCGAAGGCAGCGUACCGGCGCCCAACUGACGCUGAAGCACGAAGGCGUGGGUAUCGAACAGG
RNAcentral lists this ribosomal RNA (252 nucleotides) under uncultured bacterium. RNAcentral's name for it is "partial 16S ribosomal RNA". It matches the Rfam family "Bacterial small subunit ribosomal RNA", at positions 524 to 776 of the family's 1533-position model. The record is from RNAcentral.